This 478-nucleotide ribosomal RNA is filed under the name uncultured bacterium. RNAcentral describes it as "partial 16S ribosomal RNA". It matches the Rfam family "Bacterial small subunit ribosomal RNA", at positions 28 to 507 of the family's 1533-position model. The record is from RNAcentral.
GAUGAACGCUGGCGGCGUGCUUAACACAUGCAAGUCGAACGAGAAAUGGAGACGGAAACCUUCGGGCGGAAGGCUUCAUUUCGAGUGGCGGACGGGUGAGUAACGCGUGGGUAACCUGCCUCAUACAGGGGGAUAACAGUUGGAAACGACUGUUAAUACCGCAUAAGACCACAGCACCGCAUGGUGCGGGGGUAAAAACUCCGGUGGUAUGAGAUGGACCCGCGUUCGAUUAGCCAGUUGGCGGGGUAACGGCCCACCAAAGCGACGAUCGAUAGCCGAUCUGAGAGGAUGACCGGCCACAUUGGGACUGAGACACGGCCCAAACUCCUACGGGAGGCAGCAGUGGGGAAUAUUGCACAAUGGGGGAAACCCUGAUGCAGCGACGCCGCGUGAGUGAAGAAGUACUUCGGUAUGUAAAGCUCUAUCAGCAGGGAAGAAAAUGACGGUACCUGAGUAAGAAGCCCCGGCUAACUACCUG